UGGGGAAUUUUGGACAAUGGGGGAAACCCUGAUCCAGCCAUCCCGCGUGUGCGAUGAAGGCCUUCGGGUUGUAAAGCACUUUUGGCAGGAAAGAAACGUCAUGGGUUAAUACCCCGUGAAACUGACGGUACCUGCAGAAUAAGCACCGGCUAACUACGUGCCAGCAGCCGCGGUAAUACGUAGGGUGCAAGCGUUAAUCGGAAUUACUGGGCGUAAAGCGUGCGCAGGCGGUUCGGAAAGAAAGAUGUGAAAUCCCAGAGCUCAACUUUGGAACUGCAUUUUUAACUACCGGGCUAGAGUGUGUCAGAGGGAGGGGGAAUUCCGCGUGUACAAGUGAAUUCCGUAGUUAUGCGGGGGAACACCGAUGGCGAAGGCAGCCUCCUGGAAUAACACUGACGCUAAUGAACGAAAGCGUGGGGAGAAAACAG
RNAcentral lists this ribosomal RNA (428 nucleotides) under Acidobacteriota bacterium. RNAcentral's name for it is "Acidobacteria bacterium partial 16S ribosomal RNA". It matches the Rfam family "Bacterial small subunit ribosomal RNA", at positions 355 to 775 of the family's 1533-position model. Lineage: Bacteria; Pseudomonadati; Acidobacteriota. The record is from RNAcentral.